GACGUAGGAUGCAAGCGUUGUCCGGAUUUAUUGGGCGUAAAGAGUUCGUAGGUGGUUUGUUAAGUUUGAUGUUAAAGACUGAGGCUCAACUUCGGAAGUGCAUUGAAUACUGACAGACUCGAGUGUAGUAGAGGCGAGUGGAAUUCCCAGUGUAGCGGUGAAAUGCGUAGAUAUUGGGAAGAACACCGGUGGCGUAGGCGACUCGCUGGGCUACAACUGACACUGAGGAACGAAAGCCAGGGGAGCAAAUGG
This 252-nucleotide ribosomal RNA is filed under the name uncultured bacterium. Its description in RNAcentral is "partial 16S ribosomal RNA". It matches the Rfam family "Bacterial small subunit ribosomal RNA", at positions 524 to 775 of the family's 1533-position model. The record is from RNAcentral.